Molecule: ribosomal RNA, 468 nt
Filed under: uncultured bacterium
Lineage: Bacteria
Description: partial 16S ribosomal RNA
Rfam family: Bacterial small subunit ribosomal RNA
Source: RNAcentral
GACGAACGCUGGCGGCGUGCUUAACACAUGCAAGUCGAACGGAAAGUCCCUGCUUUUGUGGGGUGCUCGAGUGGCGAACGGGUGAGUCACACGUGCGUAACCUGCCUUUCACUUUGGGAUAUCUUCUGGUAACUGGGGCUAAUACCGGAUAGGAGCUCCUGCUGCAUGGUGUGGGUUGGAAAGUUUCGGCGGUUGGGGAUGGACUCGCGGCUUCUCAGCUUGUUGGUGGGGUAGUGGCUUACCAAGGCUUUGACGGGUAGCCGGCCUGAGCGGGGGACCGGCCACAUUGGGACUGAGAUACGGCCCAGACUCCUACGGGAGGCAGCAGUGGAGAAGAUUGCACAAUGGGCGGAAGCCUGAUGCAGCAAAGCCGCGUGCGGGAAGACGGCCUGCGGGUUGUAAACCGCUUUCGCCUGUGACGAAGCGUGAGUGACGGUAAUGGGUAAAGAAGCACCGGCUAACUACGUG